GAGCGGUAACAGGUGUAGCAAUACAUGCUGACGAGCGGCGAACGGGUGAGUAAUGCUUCGGAAUCUACCCUAUGGUGGGGAAUAACCAGCCGAAAGGUUGGCUAAUACCGCAUACGUCCUACGGGAGAAAGCAGGGGAUCGUAAGACCUUGUGCCGAUGGAUGAGCCGAAGUCGGAUUAGCUAGUUGGUGAGGUAACGGCUCACCAAGGCGACGAUCCGUAGCUGGUCUGAGAGGACGACCAGCCACACUGGGACUGAGACACGGCCCAGACUCCUACGGGAGGCAGCAGUGGGGAAUAUUGGACAAUGGGGGCAACCCUGAUCCAGCGACGCCGCGUGUGUGAAGAAGGCCUGCGGGUUGUAAAGCACUUUUAGUGGGGAUGAAAAGUGCAGGGCUAAUACCUAUGCAUAUUGACCUAACCCACAGAAAAAGCACCGGCUAACUAUGUG
RNAcentral lists this ribosomal RNA (450 nucleotides) under uncultured bacterium. Its description in RNAcentral is "bacterial SSU rRNA". It matches the Rfam family "Bacterial small subunit ribosomal RNA", at positions 64 to 507 of the family's 1533-position model. The record is from RNAcentral.